This 503-nucleotide ribosomal RNA is filed under the name uncultured bacterium. RNAcentral describes it as "SSU rRNA". It matches the Rfam family "Bacterial small subunit ribosomal RNA", at positions 1 to 497 of the family's 1533-position model. The record is from RNAcentral.
UUCGGCUUAGAGUUUGAUCCUGGCUCAGAUUGAACGCUGGCGGAAUGCUUUACACAUGCAAGUCGAACGGCAGCACGGGGGCAACCCUGGUGGCGAGUGGCGAACGGGUGAGUAAUACAUCGGAACGUGCCCAGUCGUGGGGGAUAACUACGCGAAAGCGUAGCUAAUACCGCAUACGAUCUACGGAUGAAAGCGGGGGAUCGCAAGACCUCGCGCGAUUGGAGCGGCCGAUGGCAGAUUAGGUAGUUGGUGGGGUAAAGGCUCACCAAGCCUGCGAUCUGUAGCUGGUCUGAGAGGACGACCAGCCACACUGGGACUGAGACACGGCCCAGACUCCUACGGGAGGCAGCAGUGGGGAAUUUUGGACAAUGGGCGCAAGCCUGAUCCAGCCAUUCCGCGUGCAGGAUGAAGGCCUUCGGGUUGUAAACUGCUUUUGUACGGAACGAAAAAGCCUCCUCUAAUACAGGAGGUCCCAUGACGGUACCGUAAGAAGAAGCACCGGC